Molecule: ribosomal RNA, 606 nt
Filed under: Hybognathus placitus (plains minnow)
Lineage: Eukaryota; Metazoa; Chordata; Actinopteri; Cypriniformes; Leuciscidae
Description: partial 16S ribosomal RNA
Rfam family: Bacterial large subunit ribosomal RNA
Source: RNAcentral
GGGCUUAACUGUCUCCCCCCUCCAGUCAGUGAAAUUGAUCUAUCCGUGCAGAAGCGGGUAUAAUACUACAAGACGAGAAGACCCUUUGGAGCUUAAGGUACAAGAUUCAGCCAUGUUAAGCAACUCCGUAGAAAGCAAGAACUUAGUGGCCAUGAAAUUUUACCUUCGGUUGGGGCGACCACGGAGGAAAAGCAAGCCUCCGAGUGGACUGGGCCGACACCCCUAAAGCCAAAAGAGACAUCUUUAAGCCGCAGAACAUCUGACCAAUAAUGAUCCGGCUAAAAAGCCGAUCAACGGACCAAGUUACCCUAGGGAUAACAGCGCAAUCCUCUCCCAGAGCCCAUAUCGACGAGGGGGUUUACGACCUCGAUGUUGGAUCAGGACAUCCUAGUGGUGCAGCCGCUAUUAAGGGUUCGUUUGUUCAACGAUUAAAGUCCUACGUGAUCUGAGUUCAGACCGGAGCAAUCCAGGUCAGUUUCUAUCUGUAACGCUACUUUUCCUAGUACGAAAGGAUCGGAAAAGAGGGGCCCAUACCUAGCGCAUGCCCCACCCCUAAUUCAUGAAAACAAAUAAUAAAAAUAAGGGAGGGCCAAAACCCCUGCCGCU